CACGCGCUGUUCAGUGUGAGCGCGAUGUAGGUCGUGCACGCACACACACACGCACAUACACACACACAUGCACACACAUACACACACACGCAU
This 93-nucleotide microRNA precursor is filed under the name Petromyzon marinus (sea lamprey). RNAcentral describes it as "miRNA (ENSPMAG00000013033.1)". The record is from RNAcentral. Lineage: Eukaryota; Metazoa; Chordata; Hyperoartia; Petromyzontiformes; Petromyzontidae.